RNAcentral lists this unclassified non-coding RNA (242 nucleotides) under Myrmecridium schulzeri. RNAcentral describes it as "partial contains small subunit ribosomal RNA, internal transcribed spacer 1, and 5.8S ribosomal RNA". The stretch from base 1 to 46 matches the Rfam family "Eukaryotic small subunit ribosomal RNA", at positions 1786 to 1831 of the family's 1831-position model. The record is from RNAcentral. Lineage: Eukaryota; Fungi; Ascomycota; Sordariomycetes; Myrmecridiales; Myrmecridiaceae.
AAGUCGUAACAAGGUCUCCGUUGGUGAACCAGCGGAGGGAUCAUUACGAGAGUGUCACCACUCCCAACCCAUUGUUUACCUACCCGUCCACCGUGCUUCGGCAGGCAGCCCUGUGGGACAGAGCCUCGCCCCCUUCGCGGGGGGUGCCUGCCGCUGGCCAACCAACAAACUCUAGCUGUUUUAGUACCAUCUGAGUCUUCCACAAAUGAACAAAACUUUCAACAACGGAUCUCUUGGUUCUG